Long non-coding RNA from Chiloscyllium plagiosum (whitespotted bambooshark), 1489 nucleotides. RefSeq lists it as uncharacterized. The record is from RefSeq and is a predicted model, not a curated record. NCBI's taxonomy places the organism in Eukaryota, Metazoa, Chordata, Chondrichthyes, Orectolobiformes, Hemiscylliidae.
CGGGACAAUGGACACUGUGGCAGCCUCGCCAUGAAUUCACGAAGAAAACGCAUCUGAAAACAAGGCUGAAAGUCUCAGACUAAUUGACGUCUCUUUGUAGAUUAUGGAAAUGGGAAAUGGAGCCAGCUGUCAAUGGCACUCCACGAAUGCGGAUGUGAGGCACCCAGAAGACGGUCCUAAAGUGGAAAAGUGAACAAAACAAAGACAUUGUAAGGAUAAGAUCAUGACAACAGAUUCUCCAAAUAUUUUGAACUUGGAACCUGCUACGGACUUCUGCUGGUGCCUCGCAAUUAAAAACAUUGAACUGAAGAAUUAAUGUAAAAAGGGACUGCUGGAAUUAGACGAUAAUGAAGGGAUGCAAUUGCUGCCUAGAACUGUGAAGUAGCAAUGUCUUCUGACUUAUCACAAAACUGGGGUUAUUCAUAAACUGAUAUUCAUGCGUUAAAUACCAGGUGACAGCCUUUAAACAGCUCAAUACAAUCACCGUUCCAUAGCUGAGGAGAAAGUGAGGUUUGCAGAUGCUGGAGAUCAGAGCUGAAAAUGUGUUGCUGGAAAAGCGCAGCAGGUCAGGCAGCAUCCAGGGAACAGGAGAAUCGACGUUUCGGGCAUAAGCCCUUCUUCAGGAAUGGGCUGCUGUUUUCUCAGAUCCAUAGCUGCUGUUUUCUCAGUGCAGUAGUUAGCUUUCAACCUCUGGCAACAAAUGGCCACAAAUUGAUCAAAGGUUAACGCGCCUGCAUAAAUUAUCAACGAAUGCAUUUUACACACUGGGAGCAUCAACAGGAAAAUAAAUUUCUUCUGAUAGUGAAUUGUGAUAUACCUCAAAACCAAAUCAAGAACAACAAUCAAUUGAUCUGCUGUUGCCAUGGCCACCACAUAACUUGUUAAAAACACUUCAGCGGAGGAGUGCUGCCACUAAAUUGGCUGCUGCGAUACAUCUGCAGUUUUGCAAUUACACAACUGGUAAAAUACAUUGGCAUGACUGUAUAGUUUUUGAUACACUUUCAAAAUAUUGAUUCAUGUUAAGCAAUAGUUAACCAUUAGUUAGUUUUGCUGUUCUUUCUCAUAUAUCUCUGAAAAGCUAUUGGACUUUAAAUAGUGCUUAGUUAGAAAAUUAAAAGUAAUGUUCUGUAAUUGGAUAUAUUCUGGAUAAAAAGGACAUUCCCUGAAGGAACAUCAGAUUUAGGCAAAUUACAGUAAAGUUCAAAGGAUCUAUUAAAACCCUUAGGGGAAAAACAAUGCGAAACUCUAAUACAUUCAGUACAUGGAUUUCCAAGAGCUCCUCCCAAGCAUAGUUUAAUUUCUUCAGCCCUGGUGACAGUUCCUACAUUUAGUUGUAAUGCUUGGCAUAUUUCUGCUGGAUGUGAGGCGAAAUGCGACACCCUGAGUUUUGUGCAUGCCUGAGUGAUUCUCCACGUAGUGAUGUUGGCUGCAAAUGCUGCAGCCAAAAAAUCUUUGCUGAACUUUAAAAAUGACCGUCACAGAUCACAUG